AAUCCUACAUCAUCUCUACCCGUCUCUCUCUCAACAUCCACAGUCGCCCGACCUUGCCGUUCUGUCCUCUAUUUCAGAGUUCCAUCUUCUUUCCGUCCACUUCGAACCCUCCAUCCCGUCAAAUCUGAAUGUUGUGUCUUCAUCUUAGUGGUUAAUCAACUUAUCGGAGUAGGGCUUGAUGAUAAAUCGUUUGGGUUGUAUUUUGUAUUUCUCCCCAAUUUGUUUUUGUGCUGAUUUGAUUUCGGCCACAUCCAAUUCUAGAGAAAUAAUUGUUGGAAUUGAAUAAUUAUUUUUCAAAGCAAGCUCGGUUUCUUAGUAACGACGUUAAACCUAUAGUGGAAAUAUUAUGGCUGGAUGAGACUUGUGUUUACAGCUUUUUGUAUUAGUGGACACAUUAAGGCUAAAAUAGGUCUGUUGUUGACAAAAUUUUUGUGUUCCUUGAUAUCAAAGGACAAUAACUAAGAGUUCAGAUUUGUGAUUUUUCCAAAUGCAUGCAAGAAUGUAUUUACUAAUAGCCCUUCUGUAUGAGAGACAGAGAGAAUGUUCUAUGUAUGUUUCUGAACAGAUUUUGUAGUCUUCUAAAGGCCUCAUGAAUGGUCUAUGUAUGUGCUGAACGUUAGUGCUUUGUUUGAUUAAUAGUGGCUUUGCGGACACCAUGAGAGCCAUAAAUAGGACUAGUUCCAUUAAUUAGUGAAA
This is a long non-coding RNA of Mangifera indica (mango), 696 nucleotides long. RefSeq lists it as uncharacterized. NCBI's taxonomy places the organism in Eukaryota, Viridiplantae, Streptophyta, Magnoliopsida, Sapindales, Anacardiaceae. The record is from RefSeq and is a predicted model, not a curated record. The transcript is spliced from 2 exons.